AUCUGAACAGAAGAAAUAAAGCGGAAGAUGAGUCAAGCUCCAGUCCUGGAAGGCAGAUGUCCUCCCCCGAUGGUGGGCCACCGGGCCAGUCAGACACAGACAGCUCUGUGGAGGAGAGCGACUUCGACACCAUGCCAGACAUUGAGAGUGAUAAAAACAUCAUCCGGACCAAGAUGUUCCUUUACCUGUCAGAUUUGUCCAGGAAGGACCGGAGAAUUGUCAGCAAAAAAUAUAAAAUUUAUUUUUGGAAUAUCAUCACCAUCGCUGUGUUUUAUGCGCUGCCCGUAAUCCAGCUGGUCAUUACCUAUCAGACAUGCCUUCAACAACAUUCUCAGCAAUCUGGGCCACGUGCUUCUGGGCUUCCUCUUCCUGCUGAUAGUCUUGCGCCGCGACAUCCUCCAUCGGAGAGCCCUGGAAGCCAAGGACAUCUUUGCUGUGGAAUACGGGAUUCCCAAACACUUUGGUCUCUUCUACGCUAUGGGCAUUGCAUUGAUGAUGGAAGGGGUGCUCAGUGCUUGCUACCAUGUCUGCCCUAAUUAUUCCAACUUCCAAUUCGACACCUCCUUCAUGUACAUGAUCGCUGGCCUGUGCAUGCUGAAGCUCUAUCAGACCCGCCACCCAGACAUCAAUGCCAGCGCCUACUCCGCCUACGCCUCCUUUGCUGUGGUCAUCAUGGUCACCGUCCUUGGAGUGGUGUUUGGAAAAAAUGACGUGUGGUUCUGGGUCAUCUUCUCUGCAAUCCACGUUCUGGCCUCGCUAGCCCUCAGCACCCAGAUAUAUUAUAUGGGUCGUUUCAAGAUAGAUGUGUCUGACACAGCAGAUUUGGGAAUUUUCCGGCGGGCUGCCAUGGUGUUCUACACAGACUGUAUCCAGCAGUGUAGCCGACCUCUAUAUAUGGAUAGAAUGGUGUUGCUGGUUGUGGGGAAUCUGGUUAACUGGUCCUUCGCCCUCUUUGGAUUGAUAUACCGCCCCAGGGACUUUGCUUCCUACAUGCUGGGCAUCUUCAUCUGUAACCUUUUGCUGUACCUGGCCUUUUACAUCAUCAUGAAGCUCCGCAGCUCUGAAAAGGUCCUCCCAGUCCCGCUCUUCUGCAUCGUGGCCACCGCUGUGAUGUGGGCUGCCGCCCUGUAUUUUUUCUUCCAGAAUCUCAGCAGCUGGGAGAGAACUCCGGCCGAAUCCCGGGAGAAGAACCGCGAGUGCAUUCUGCUGGAUUUCUUCGAUGACCAUGACAUCUGGCACUUCCUCUCUGCUACUGCUCUGUUUUUCUCAUUCUUGGUUUUGUUAACUUUGGAUGAUGACCUUGAUGUGGUUCGGAGAGACCAGAUCCCUGUCUUCUGAACCUCCAACAUUAAGAGAGGGGAGGGAGCAAUCAAUCUUGGUGCUGUUUCACGAGAAUUACAGUGACCACAGCAAAGUAACCACUGCCAGAUGCUCCAUUCACCCUCUGUAGAGCCAACUCUGCAUUCACACA
This 1471-nucleotide small RNA is filed under the name Pan troglodytes (chimpanzee). RNAcentral's name for it is "processed transcript". The record is from RNAcentral. Lineage: Eukaryota; Metazoa; Chordata; Mammalia; Primates; Hominidae.